GGCAUUAGGCAUUGAGAAGUUAAUGCUUCAAUGAUUCUUUGUCUGCUACAAUUAGCUGCAAUAUGAUGAUUAUGCUUUGUGCCACUCAUAAUUUACUUCCAGCCUCCAAUAUUUAUUUUAGAAUCUGAAUUUACUUUUUCAUAUGCUAUGCUUUGAGAGUGAAGACCCACUUUGGAUUGAAAUUUUGUGUAGACAACUUUCUGCUUCUCAAUUAUAUAAAUUUUUGCCGCCUUUUCAGCUGGGACACAUAACAAACUUUUGAAUGCAAUUAUGGUGUGAAAUGGCAAUUCGUAUAAUUUUUUGGAGGAUUGAAUUGGACAUUUUGGCUACAAUUGCAAAACUGCCUUUAGAUUGAUUUUUUAGCAUCUUUUUUUCCCCUUUAGAAUUGAUUUUGUCUGCGUGUCCUCACUUUAAGUGUGUAGGGAUAAUAAGGGUAAAGUAAUUCCUUUAGAAUUUAAUAAAUUCUUUCUUUUAAUUUAAUUUUUACGUUACCCACAGGUGUUGGUUGUUGAAGAUAACA
RNAcentral lists this unclassified non-coding RNA (520 nucleotides) under Hevea brasiliensis (rubber tree). Lineage: Eukaryota; Viridiplantae; Streptophyta; Magnoliopsida; Malpighiales; Euphorbiaceae. The record is from RNAcentral.